GAUGAACGCUGGCGGCGUGCCUAAUACAUGCAAGUCGAACGCUGAAGGAAGGAGCUUGCUCUUUCCGGAUGAGUUGCGAACGGGUGAGUAACGCGUAGGUAACCUGCCUGGUAGCGGGGGAUAACUAUUGGAAACGAUAGCUAAUACCGCAUAACAGUAGAUGUUGCAUGAUAUCUACUUAAAAGGUGCAAUUGCACCACUACCAGAUGGACCUGCGUUGUAUUAGCUAGUUGGUGAGGUGACGGCUCACCAAGGCGACGAUACAUAGCCGACCUGAGAGGGUGAUCGGCCACACUGGGACUGAGACACGGCCCAGACUCCUACGGGAGGCAGCAGUAGGGAAUCUUCGGCAAUGGACGGAAGUCUGACCGAGCAACGCCGCGUGAGUGAAGAAGGUUUUCGGAUCGUAAAGCUCUGUUGUAAGAGAAGAACGAGUGUGGGAGUGGAAAGUUCACACUGUGACGGUAUCUUACCAGAAAGGGACGGCUAACUACGUG
This 497-nucleotide ribosomal RNA is filed under the name uncultured bacterium. Its description in RNAcentral is "partial 16S ribosomal RNA". It matches the Rfam family "Bacterial small subunit ribosomal RNA", at positions 28 to 507 of the family's 1533-position model. The record is from RNAcentral.